ACUGAUGAUUUUGGUCGCCAACGAGUGGCGGACGGGUGAGUAACACGUAGGUAACCUGCCCAGAAGCGGGGGACAACAUUUGGAAACAGAUGCUAAUACCGCAUAACAACGUUGUUCGCAUGAACAACGCUUAAAAGAUGGCUUCUCGCUAUCACUUCUGGAUGGACUGCGGUGCAUUAGCUUGUUGGUGGGGUAAUGGCCUACCAAGGCGAUGAUGCAUAGCCGAGUUGAGAGACUGAUCGGCCACAAUGGGACUGAGACACGGCCCAUACUCCUACGGGAGGCAGCAGUAGGGAAUCUUCCACAAUGGGCGCAAGCCUGAUGGAGCAACACCGCGUGAGUGAAGAAGGGUUUCGGCUCGUAAAGCUCUGUUGUUAAAGAAGAACACGUAUGAGAGUAACUGUUCAUACGUUGACGGUAUUUAACCAGAAAGUCACGGCUAACUACGUGCCAGCAGCCGCGGUAAUACGUAGGUGGCAAGCGUUAUCCGGAUUUAUUGGGCGUAAAGAGAGUGCAGGCGGUUUUCUAAGUCUGAUGUGAAAGCCUUCGGCUUAACCGGAGAAGUGCAUCGGAAACUGGAUAACUUGAGUGCAGAAGAGGGUAGUGGAACUCCAUGUGUAGCGGUGGAAUGCGUAGAUAUAUGGAAGAACACCAGUGGCGAAGGCGGCUACCUGGUCUGCAACUGACGCUGAGACUCGAAAGCAUGGGUAGCGAACAGGAUUAGAUACCCUGGUAGUCCAUGCCGUAAACGAUGAGUGCUAGGUGUUGGAGGGUUUCCGCCCUUCAGUGCCGGAGCUAACGCAUUAAGCACUCCGCCUGGGGAGUACGACCGCAAGGUUGAAACUCAAAGGAAUUGACGGGGGCCCGCACAAGCGGUGGAGCAUGUGGUUUAAUUCGAAGCUACGCGAAGAACCUUACCAGGUCUUGACAUCUUGCGCCAACCCUAGAGAUAGGGCGUUUCCUUCGGGAACGCAAUGACAGGUGGUGCAUGGUCGUCGU
RNAcentral lists this ribosomal RNA (999 nucleotides) under Limosilactobacillus fermentum. RNAcentral's name for it is "bacterial SSU rRNA". It matches the Rfam family "Bacterial small subunit ribosomal RNA", at positions 70 to 1055 of the family's 1533-position model. Lineage: Bacteria; Bacillati; Bacillota; Bacilli; Lactobacillales; Lactobacillaceae. The record is from RNAcentral.